AGCUGACACCUUUCACAACGGAUCGUCCGGCACGUACCUGCCGGUGAAGGGAAUAGUUA
This is a regulatory RNA element of 59 nucleotides. It matches the Rfam family "msiK RNA". The record is from Rfam.